This 484-nucleotide ribosomal RNA is filed under the name uncultured bacterium. RNAcentral's name for it is "partial 16S ribosomal RNA". It matches the Rfam family "Bacterial small subunit ribosomal RNA", at positions 30 to 507 of the family's 1533-position model. The record is from RNAcentral.
AUUGAACGCUGGCGGCAGGCCUAACACAUGCGAGUCGAGCGGAUGAAGGGAGCUUGCUCCUGGAUUCAGCGGCGGACGGGUGAGUAAUGCCUAGGAAUCUGCCUGGUAGUGGGGGAUAACGUCCGGAAACGGGCGCUAAUACCGCAUACGUCCUGAGGGAGAAAGUGGGGGAUCUUCGGACCUCACGCUAUCAGGUGAGCCUAGGUCGGAUUAGCUAGUUGGUGGGGUAAAGGCCUACCAAGGCGACGAUCCGUAACUGGUCUGAGAGGAUGAUCAGUCACACUGGAACUGAGACACGGUCCAGACUCCUACGGGGGGCAGCAGUGGGGAAUAUUGGACAAUGGGCGAAAGCCUGAUCCAGCCAUGCCGCGUGUGUGAAGAAGGUCUUCGGAUUGUAAAGCACUUUAAGUUGGGAGGAAGGGCAGUAAGUUAAUACCUUGCUGUUUUGACGUUACCAACAGAAUAAGCACCGGCUAACUUCGUG